ACAUCCAUGGAGUAGUAGUCUAGCUCAUUCCCUUUCCACCCUUUGGCGCAGUUGUUAGGGAAAGACCCGGGUGCGAAUCCCGGUGGAUGCA
RNAcentral lists this transfer RNA (91 nucleotides) under Hypoxylon rubiginosum. Its description in RNAcentral is "tRNA-Gly". It matches the Rfam family "tRNA". Rfam says of the family: Transfer RNA (tRNA) molecules are approximately 80 nucleotides in length. Their secondary structure includes four short double-helical elements and three loops (D, anti-codon, and T loops). Further hydrogen bonds mediate the characteristic L-shaped molecular structure. tRNAs have two regions of fundamental functional importance: the anti-codon, which is responsible for specific mRNA codon recognition, and the 3' end, to which the tRNAs corresponding amino acid is attached (by aminoacyl-tRNA synthetases). tRNAs cope with the degeneracy of the genetic code in two manners: having more than one tRNA (with a specific anti-codon) for a particular amino acid; and 'wobble' base-pairing, i.e. permitting non-standard base-pairing at the 3rd anti-codon position. Lineage: Eukaryota; Fungi; Ascomycota; Sordariomycetes; Xylariales; Hypoxylaceae. The record is from RNAcentral.